UUCAACAAUUUAAUAUGCGAACAUUCAAUUUGUGACAAAUCAGUACCUGCCAUUAAUUCACAGUCACUCAGAACCAUGACGUGAGGUGAGGUGCGAUUUAUAUGUUUUCAUAAUGCCAAAAUUAACCUCUAUGAUAAUUUUCAGACCAUUUUACCCUUUUCUCUUCUUUUUUUCCCUUUUCCCCUUUCUCUUCAAUCUAGUUGAAGAAGAUCAAGAGAAGUGGUAAGCGCAGCCCUUCAUUCCGAACACAGUGUUCAUAGGUGGUAAGCGUAGCCUUUGAUUCCGACCUCCACGGUAAUUUUCUGACCUCCUGCUCUUGCUCGCGUAGGUGGUAAGCUUCGAUCAACUCCAACUUGAAGGAACAUAGACGAGAGGAGAGGAGACUGUUCACGCGCAGGUUGAAUGAACGCCAAAGAAGGUGGUCGUCCGUUAGGAGAGAGCGCAAGGUCCAAUUCUGAGAAUUGAUGAGGGUGAGGAGCUUGCCGACUUUUGGUAUGCUCUAGCUAGUGCUCCGCUUCUUAGUGAUGAUCUUGACAAAGUGGCCGGCAAACUCGAUUUUUUUGCCGGUAAAGAUCAGGUUGCAGCGGCAAUUCGUCUUGGGGUUGGUGGGAAGAAGGUGGAUGAAUAUGAUUUGGACUAUGAGAUUUUCCAGAAGGCGCUUUCGGGUGGUGUGGUUAUAUAGAGAAAAAUAACCUAAUUUUUCAGGUUGAAAAAGUCCCUUUCCCUAAUUUUCUUCCUCUUGUUUUCAUUUGAUUUGUUUGGAGGGGCAAGGUGGCUGUUUAUGAAGUAUAUAUGUAGGAAAAUAAAUGGAUGCGCAACAAGAAAUGGAUGGGGAUUGGUACAUUGUCUAGGAAGAAAUGGAUGUCCAGCAAUAAAUGUCUCUGCUUUUUGUCUGAUCAGUGCUGGCCAUUGGUACGUUGCCCAGCAAAAAGUGGAUGGGGAUUGGGAAAUUUUGAUUUUUUGACAAAUGGUUAUGAAGUAUAUAUGGAAAGAAAGUGUGAAUUAAGGCUCUCCAUCACUUCGAAACGGUCUCACCUGUGUCUCUGUAAUUCGAUCAGUUUGUUUAAUCAGAUUCAUCUGGAGCUCUCUACAGAAGCUACAACCAACAAGUUAACAGAAACAACUUGGCCAAACCCAGUAGUUGCACAGCUGGACCUUGAACCCUCUAAGAAAAACCAAAUUUUUCCGGAGGCAUCAGAGAUGGUGGACCAAAAGGUUCAGUAGCUUGACCUUGAACCCUCUAAGAAAAACCAAAUUUUGCCGGAGACAUCAAAGAUGGUGGGACCAAAAGGUUCAGUAGCUUGACCUUGAACCCUCUAGGAAAAACCAAAUUUUGUCGGAGGCAUCAGAGAUGGUGGGACCAAAAGUUCUCAGUAGCAGUAGGUUCAUAUAGGCUGAUCAGAAAAUCCCUAAAAAUCUUGCAUUAAAAUCAACCAGAAGUCAAUGUAAUAUAAAUACAGUAAAAAAGCAUAGAGAAUAAUAGAAAAAAGCAAAAAAAAAA
This is a long non-coding RNA of Nelumbo nucifera (sacred lotus), 1501 nucleotides long. RefSeq lists it as uncharacterized. The record is from RefSeq and is a predicted model, not a curated record. NCBI's taxonomy places the organism in Eukaryota, Viridiplantae, Streptophyta, Magnoliopsida, Proteales, Nelumbonaceae.